UGAGAGUGGAGCCUGCUUGGGAUUCUCCCUCGCGCUCACUCAAAAUAAGUACAUAAACAUUUUUAAAAAAUAGUAAACAGAAACAUAAGUAAUAACAAAGACAAGGAAAAGGGGGGAGGAAUAAAAGGAAACUCUCUGGCUUACUCUGUAUCAUCACAUGGAAAAGGAGAAACCAUGAUGAAUGGAUCUGAGGAGUGUCUACUGAAGGUGAGGGAGUGUGUGGACAAGAAAAUGCUCUUUUCCUAAUUUGUCCCAAGACAGCUCAAGAAAAACAACAAAACACUACCCUUGACAAAGCAUAGACUUGUAUUAACAUUUUAUUCCGGCAUUUUCUAGACACUGAAAAGGAAGAUGGGUGAUAGGGAGUUUCUGGAGUCAAAGCUUUUGCUGGACCGGAACAUGCAAAGUUCUCUCCUCGGUGGAGUAGGCAACUCGGUGGCAUCCGUCCCUACCACUGUCAAGGCCAGGCCCUUAUCACCCGAUGAAUGUGCAUCGAAGCCAAUGGCACUUGCGUUUCUUUGUCUGAAGGAUUUCUCUAGCCUCUGGAGACCAGCCGGCCAUCAGCAUUGUAGAGCACACUGGGGAGCCACCCUCAAGCAACAAGGACAGUGUCGGUGUAUAAAUACAUCAACUCCCUCCUUCCACAGGGGGAACAACUGUGAGGUGUUUUUUCACACUCGCUUGCAGAGAUAUCCAGGAAGCCUUCAACCGCAGUGGCCUACGGUGGCAGCUGUCUUGAUGAUGCAACUUUCCUUCCCUGUGUCACUUCCUACCCCUUCCUCAGUACUUCCUGGUACCACCUACCCCAUAAACAACGUGCCCACAAACCUUUAUCUCAAGUUCUGCUUCUGGGAGAACCAUACACGAGACAGAAUCUGUGCCCACGUUGAAGAGAGGGAGAUUUGCACGGAAUCAGAUGAUGAUAAGCCUGGUCUCUGGAAAUGGAGACCAAAUGGAGAAUCUGGAUUGAAAUCCUGGUGCAACCACUUACUGCCUCUGAAACCUUAG
RNAcentral lists this long non-coding RNA (1008 nucleotides) under Felis catus (domestic cat). RNAcentral describes it as "lncRNA (ENSFCAG00000052752.1)". Lineage: Eukaryota; Metazoa; Chordata; Mammalia; Carnivora; Felidae. The record is from RNAcentral.